GGCAGAGGUUGCAAACGUUGUUCGGAAUUACUGGGCAUAAAGCGCACGUAGGUGGUCCGCUAAGUCGGAUGUGAAAUUCCCCGGCUCAACCGGGGAACGGCAAUCGAUACUGGCGGGCUUGAGGUCCGGAGGGGUGAGUGGAACUCCUGGUGGAGCGGUGAAAUGCGUAGAUAUCAGGAGGAACACCAGUGGCGAAAGCGGCUCACUGGCCGGAAUCUGACACUGAGGUGCGAAAGCUAGGGUAGCAAACGGG
This 253-nucleotide ribosomal RNA is filed under the name uncultured bacterium. Its description in RNAcentral is "partial 16S ribosomal RNA". It matches the Rfam family "Bacterial small subunit ribosomal RNA", at positions 524 to 776 of the family's 1533-position model. The record is from RNAcentral.